Long non-coding RNA from Triticum aestivum (bread wheat), 4606 nucleotides. RefSeq lists it as uncharacterized. The record is from RefSeq and is a predicted model, not a curated record. NCBI's taxonomy places the organism in Eukaryota, Viridiplantae, Streptophyta, Magnoliopsida, Poales, Poaceae. The transcript has 11 exons.
UCCGUCUUCCCCGUCUCUCCCAAUCCGCCGCCGCUUCCUCCCUUGUCCCCGUCUCUCCAAUCUUUUUUCUCUCUCUCACCCCGUCGCUUCCGCCGUCUGCAGAUUGAGUGUUUCCAGAAUUCUUCGUCCGCCGUCCCUCCCCGCACCCACGCACGCGGACACCUAUCUUCGUCGCUCGCCUGGUUCUUGUACGAUUCAGGGCGGAGCAGGGGAUCAAUUGAUGUAAGGUUCUGCUUCCAAUCCAUCCAGGCCGCCGGCCAGUCCACCGAGGGGAGAGUCCAGAUUGUCCACGCACAACCCUAGACGCCGCGCGCGUACCAUCUCCGCCGCCUCGCCCAGUUCUUGCUCGCCUCAGCUCGCGGGGAUGGAGCAGGACGGCGCCGCCCGUCCCCUCGCGCCAGGCCUAGGACGACGGCGGCGUGGACGGCUGGGCUCACGACGGCACGGAGGCCUCCCCUACGGCGCCCCGGCGGAGUGCCCCGAGGCCGUAGAUCAUCCUCCUUGCCGCCGCCUCCGCGGCCACGUCUCAGCGGCCGCCUCCGCGCAGCCGCGCUCGUGCGCGACCCUCAACUACGACUCGGUGGGUAGGACCCCUGCGACGGCCUCGCCUAUUCCGGCGACCACAACCACCGCGUCCGCAAGAAAGUCGCAUGGAUUGGGGAUAUGUACCUCGGUUUGGGUUUAAAGGGGCAAUCUUUGAGCAUUUGUAUAUCAACUAUUGAGGAUCUCAAGUUCACAUGGAUCGCACUAUGAUCAAGUGCAUUCUGGUGCUAUGAUGAUUGUAACAGAAGAUGUUAGCGGCAGAAGCAAUCGCUAUGUAUCAGCUCCAAUAUUAAAAUCAGUGCAUGACACAAUUUUUCUCAUCUGGAACUGCGCUUAGAAGGUGUUUGGUCUGAAAGCUACGCUCCUGAAUACAAUGUGAUAUAAAAGGUUCAUGAAAUCAUCAGGAUUUGGACCUCCAUAGGAAAUCUGCAAGGGGAACAACAACAAAGGAAACUGGUGUAAGAUUUAGUACCAAGACUCGAAGAUGAGCUACCAUCAAGAUUAUGUCUCGACAAUCAAGUAUAGUGUCAACACUUAUGAUACCGGCUUGGAUAAUUGCAUUUUGGAACUAGUGUUGUAACCCGUCAUCCCUACCCCAACUGAGACAGGCUUAUUUACCCUUUACCUCCUCUUUGUUUGACACAUGCUUUAGUUGAGCUUCACUAACUUAUUGAAAGGUAUCUUGCUCGUUGCAGGUCGUAGUUGACGAAUUCAAGUACAACCUGCUCCUGAGUUGCAGCUUUUCUAAAUAUACUAUUUUCCAGUUCAUCGUAACUUUGUCAUCCUUUAAAAUUAUCUUACUGGGCAAUAUUUUGAAUCCAGAUUUAUCUGCAAAGGUGCAACAAUGGAGAUUCAAACUAAUGUCGCAUCCUACAAGCAAAAAAGACUACGCUCCAGUUUUUACUCUUACUACUUAUUUUUAUUUCAUGUAGCUACUUGUUCUUGUUUUUGAUUUAGGUUAUUUGCUUCUGCCCUCCCUGUGAUUGCAGAUUUAAUUUAAGCCCAGACCAUGCUGGCAGUGAGUUGGAAUCAGUUAAAAUCGUUACGUUCUCGUUGUCUCUUGCCCACAGCCCUGCUUUGUGUUGUCCUAAUUCAAGUUGCGCCGCCACAAAAUGCUGCUAGUUUAACUGCUGUAAGCUCAACAACAGGAGCACACAGGCGGCCGCUGCAGCUAAGCUCACAUGGAACAUAUGCCCUGUUGCAGCCUCACAGCUGCUGGCACGAGAUGUAUGUGGCGGGGGGUACUUCUGGUGCAGUAAUACCAUUUUGGAGUGCCCCGUGUUUGCAACUAUCCUUAUGUGCAGCCCUUGCUAACAAGGCAUCAGAGAAAAUUAAAGGGACAAACAAAGUGCUGAAAAUAAAAUUUUGCGUCCCAUGUGUUGUUCGGUUGUCCACUGGAGCCAUUCUUUCAUAUGUUGCUCGGUUGCACAGCGCGAGGUAGCAAUGGUAGCUGCGGGUUGAGAGAUGUGGAGAAGAGGGUUCCUCCAGGCUCCAUCCAUGAAUGGUGUGUGUCCAAUGCCUUAGGGUGGCAUGCGGCAAUGUUGGGGACCAGUGAGUAAGAUGGCUGGUGUACAUUCUUUGAAAUAAAGCUGAAGUAAGCCACCACUGUGCCUACUUUGCAGACCAUCUUGGUGUUUCAGCAACAACAACUGCACAUGGUGAGGAACUUAGGAAGCAGACCGCUGCAGCAUACAUCAAAUGCAGCUUGGAGACACAUCAGGUGCAAUCAAUACCAGGAAUUAGGAUUGGUUCUCAUUUGUUUGACCAAAAGUUUGCUGGUAGAUCAGUUUAAGGUACUAUUGUUGGCCUUGCUAGAAUGGCAUGGUUGUCUUCGACACUGCCUUCAAAGGGGUCCUUCAACCUCCAAGGAGAAGGGAACUGAUGUCUGCUAGGGAAAAAAAACUAGGCGAAGCUCUGGAUGCUCGAUCGAGUAAGCACCCACUUAUUAUCACUCUACUUCGUCGGUUGUCCACUGAAGUGUGAGCAGACUAUUCCUCAAAUUUGGUCCAUGACAUCUUGCUUGCCACGUGGUCCCCUUACCUCAAAAUUGACAUAUUAUAAUCUAUGAAGUACUGUUUAGGCAAGGCAUUAUACUGCAAGUAAACUAUAUAACCGAAUGGUUGUCCAAAAAUUCAAAUUUGCACCAUGCAUUCCACCUGAUCUGCCAGUUUAACUAUCUUCUUAAUUGUACCGUAGACAUUUGAUGUGUGGUAGUACGUGUGUGAUGAAGCAUGGUGUAGUAGCAAACUAGCAACUGAAUUUUUUGACAUACCAUGGAUUUCUUUCUGCCUCUAUUUGAUGCUCGGUGGUGUUCAUCCGAAGGUCCGUACUGACCCUGCUCUAGACAUAUGUCUCCCUAAUUUCUGUGUGCAAUUGUGCAAUCCAUGCUUUACACUUAAAAUGAGAUAAUAAAAUUUAGCUCAUGUUGCCCGUCCAUCAUGCACCCAGAAUAUUUUACCUCCCUGCUUUUUAUAUUUUAGUUGGGCAUGUGUUUUCAAGACAGAUCUGUGAUAGUUAAUUUUUUUAUGGUGGCCGCGGCUACUCCCAGUGCCUGCUAAAGAACAGGGCCAGCAAUAGGCAUUUAGAAUACAUGCAAGAAAAUUUAUCUCUAGGUAACUUAUUAGGAUGCAUUUGGUACUUUUCAGCCAUGGCAAAGGCACGGGUUGAGCUGCAUCUUGAUGAGAGGAUCGACUAUUUGUGAUGAUUUAUUAUGGUAGACAAUGGAACUAAGAUUUGGUAAAAAAAUGAUAAUAUGAUAGGUGAUUUAUGAUGUACUAUUUUAAAUAACGAUACUAAGCUUUUAUUCCAUAGAUGACAUUUGGUUAUUCUGCAUUUUUUCCUUUACAAAGAUAGUUAUGAUAAGAGAUAAACAUCAUGUACAGGUUAACUUUUUGUAUGCCUAUUAGCAUGCCUUGCUGCCAAGUGCAAAUAGUCUAUAUGAUGCUCAUAAAUAGAGCUUCCCGGUGGGAAGGAUGAGGCGCGCUCAUUGAUACUUUGGUUUUAUAUCCAUUUGUAAUACAUUUUUUCUCUUCCAAGCAUAUAAACUUUAGCAAAUUAGUGUGUGCAAUCAAGUCUCCUAAGUGAACGGUCUUAUUUCACCAUAUCAUCAAGUUUCAGAGCAUAUAAGAUUAGAGUGUGUCAUGCUAUGUGAAAAUCUCUUUGGAGACCUAAUUUUGUAUUUUUCUAUUUUGUCGGUUAGAAAACCAGUUUCCUGAGUUGUUAGUCUGAGUAUUCGAAUUGAUCCGCAGAGUUCAGGGCUUCUGGAUGGAAGAGUUUCCUACCUCCUCAAAAUCUUAGUACUCUCUACCUAGACUUCAUAAUAAUGCCUGACUUUUUCUGAAGAAUUGUUGAAGUAUGGGUUGUUCGUGCAUUUGCAGUGUUGGAGGUGUUAGUGCAAGAUUGUAGGGUUGGAAAGUAUAGCAAAACGUUAGUUGGUGUAGGGACUUGGUGAAGCCAUCAGACGACUGUGUCUGCUUCCCCGAUGGUUUUGACUUCUGAUGCAUAUUACUUGAUGAUUUAGUCUUUGUGGCAGCUUUCAGUUUGAACUGGCAUUCAGUGGCUUCAUCCUCUUUGGUGCAGCUUGGAGUUAGUGUGCACAUCUGGAUCUUUUAACUUUCCUGAAGCAUAUUACUUGGUUAAUUGGUUUAUGGCGCCUGCUAACUUGCAUGCGAUUUUGAUGGAAUCUGAUCUCAUUUUUUGCUCCCAGUGAAUAUACAAAAGGCUAGAAGUAAAUGAUGGAAGAUCCUUUGGUCUCAAACGGGGGUCGUACUCAACGUUUGUAUAAUAGAUAAUCAAAUUUUGGCCUUCAGCUUGCAAAUUUAUCACCUUACAGGAGAAGUAAAGGUUGCAUGUACUCUGAUUAUCUCCAUAUAUACUUGAAUUGCUUUGGGGUCAUGCUUGGAUUUGUUAGACUACCAUUCUACAUACUGUUCUCGAUGAUUGCACUUGGUUUGUUAAUUUAUGUAUUUUUGUGGUAAGUUCUUUAGGUUCAUCUUAUGGCACAGAAUUAGUUUUUGGCAUACGCAGACUUUGAAAUUUGGUGAUAAAGAAAGAUCACAACUAA